Erinaceus europaeus (western European hedgehog) is the source of this 141-nucleotide small nuclear RNA. Its record names the gene U4. It matches the Rfam family "U4 spliceosomal RNA". From Rfam's summary of the family: U4 small nuclear RNA (U4 snRNA) is a component of the major U2-dependent spliceosome. The structure of U4 snRNA from yeast and human has been reported. NCBI's taxonomy places the organism in Eukaryota, Metazoa, Chordata, Mammalia, Eulipotyphla, Erinaceidae. The record is from Ensembl.
AGCUUUGCGCAGUGGCAGUAUUGUAGCCAAAGAGGUUUAUCUGAGGCGCGAUUAUUGCUAAUUGAAAACUUUUCCCAAUACCCUGCCGUGACGACUUGAAAUAUAGUCGGCGUUGGCAAUUUUUGACAGUCUCUACGGAGC